RNAcentral lists this unclassified non-coding RNA (334 nucleotides) under soil metagenome. Its description in RNAcentral is "partial contains 5.8S ribosomal RNA, internal transcribed spacer 2, and large subunit ribosomal RNA". The stretch from base 1 to 120 matches the Rfam family "5.8S ribosomal RNA", at positions 35 to 154 of the family's 154-position model. The record is from RNAcentral.
GAUGAAGAACGCAGCGAAAUGCGAUAAGUAAUGUGAAUUGCAGAAUUCAGUGAAUCAUCGAAUCUUUGAACGCACAUUGCGCCCGCCAGUAUUCUGGCGGGCAUGCCUGUUCGAGCGUCAUUUCAACCAUCAAGCCCUGCUUGCGUUGGGGUCCUGCGGCUGCCCGCAGGCCCUGAAAACCAGUGGCGGGCUCGCUAGUCACACCGAGCGCAGUAAUACAUCUCGCUUUGGGCGUGCGGCGGGUUCUUGCCGUUAAACACCCCCUUUUUACCAAGGUUAACCUCGGAUCAGGUAGGAAUACCCGCUGAACUUAAGCAUAUCAAUAAGCGGAGGA